UGUUAAAAAAAUUUUAUUCAUUUGUAUUGUUAAAAACUAAUAUGAUUGGUAGAAUAAUCAAACUGUCACAUGACGUACCACGUAUAUCUCCUAUUGAUGUAUAAAAACUAGUUUUUCAAUUGUAGAAAUUGAUAAAAUUUUUAACC
Molecule: non-coding RNA, 146 nt
Organism: Gossypium arboreum
Lineage: Eukaryota; Viridiplantae; Streptophyta; Magnoliopsida; Malvales; Malvaceae
Source: Rfam